AGGAUUGGUGUAAUAGGUAAAA
Molecule: microRNA, 22 nt
Filed under: Medicago truncatula (barrel medic)
Lineage: Eukaryota; Viridiplantae; Streptophyta; Magnoliopsida; Fabales; Fabaceae
Description: mtr-miR2089-3p
Source: miRBase by way of RNAcentral